Molecule: ribosomal RNA, 270 nt
Filed under: uncultured bacterium
Lineage: Bacteria
Description: partial 16S ribosomal RNA
Rfam family: Bacterial small subunit ribosomal RNA
Source: RNAcentral
GAGUUUGAUCAUGGCUCCAGGACGAACGCUGGCGGCGUGCUUAACACAUGCAAGUCGAGCGGAAAGGCCCCUUCGGGGGUACUCGAGCGGCGAACGGGUGAGUAACACGUGGGUAAUCUGCCCAAGACACAGGAAUAACCAGUGGAAACGCUGGCUAAUGCCUGAUGAUGUGCCGGCCUUUCGGGGCUUGUACCAAAGGUAGCUUCGGCCUCCGGUCUUGGACUGAGCCCGCGUCCCAUUAGCUUGUUCGGUGAGGUAACGGCUCACCAA